UCGAUUAGUUUGAUCCUGGCUCAGGACGAACGCUGGCGGCGUGCUUAACACAUGCAAGUCGAGCGGUAAGGCCUCUUCAGGGGUACACGAGCGGCGAACGGGUGAGUAACACGUGGGCGACCUGCCCUCAGCUCUGGGAUAAGCCUGGGAAACUGGGUCUAAUACCGGAUAUGACUUCGCAUCGCAUGGUGUGUUGUGGAAAGUUUUUCGGCUGGGGAUGGGCCCGCGGCCUAUCAGCUUGUUGGUGGGGUGAUGGCCUACCAAGGCGACGACGGGUAGCCGGCCUGAGAGGGCGACCGGCCACACUGGGACUGAGGCACGGCCCAGACUCCUACGGGAGGCAGCAGUGGGGAAUAUUGCGCAAUGGGCGGAAGCCUGACGCAGCGACGCCGCGUGGGGGAUGACGGCCUUCGGGUUGUAAACCUCUUUCGACCUUGACGAAGCGAGAGUGACGGUAGAGGUAGAAGAAGCACCGGCCAACUACGUGCCAGCAGCCGCGGUAAUACGUAGGGUGCGAGCGUUGUCCGGAAUUAUUGGGCGUAAAGAGCUCGUAGGCGGUCUGUCGCGUCGGUCGUGAAAACCUGCAGCUUAACUGUGGGCUUGCGGUCGAUACGGGCAUGACUGGAGUUCGGCAGGGGAGACUGGAAUUCCUGGUGUAGCGGUGAAAUGCGCAGAUAUCAGGAGGAACACCGGUGGCGAAGGCGGGUCUCUGGGCCGAUACUGACGCUGAGGAGCGAAAGCGUGGGGAGCGAACAGGAUUAGA
This 763-nucleotide ribosomal RNA is filed under the name uncultured bacterium. RNAcentral's name for it is "bacterial SSU rRNA". It matches the Rfam family "Bacterial small subunit ribosomal RNA", at positions 1 to 782 of the family's 1533-position model. The record is from RNAcentral.